This 378-nucleotide ribosomal RNA is filed under the name uncultured bacterium. RNAcentral describes it as "bacterial SSU rRNA". It matches the Rfam family "Bacterial small subunit ribosomal RNA", at positions 29 to 416 of the family's 1533-position model. The record is from RNAcentral.
AACGAACGCUGGCGGCAGGCCUAACACAUGCAAGUCGAACGCCGUAGCAAUACGGAGUGGCAGACGGGUGAGUAACGCGUGGGAACAUACCCCUCGGUUCGGAAUAACUCAGGGGAAACUUGAGCUAAUACCGGAUACGUCCGAGGUUUUAAUCGACCUUGGAGAAAGAUUUAUCGCCGGAGGAUUGGCCCGCGUCUGAUUAGCUUGUUGGUGAGGUAAUGGCUCACCAAGGCGACGAUCAGUAGCUGGUCUGAGAGGAUGAUCAGCCACAUUGGGACUGAGACACGGGCCCAAACUCCUACGGGAGGCAGCAGUGGGGAAUAUUGGACAAUGGGGCGAAAGCCUGAUCCAGCCAAUGCCGCGUGAGUGAUGAAGGCC